UGAUAGAGGUGCGAAUUUCAUCAGUAUCCAGGGAGCGAGAGUUUGGAAGACUGUUUUCUGAAGAAAGGGGAAUUUGCCGAAGAGAUGAAAUGAUUCCAAGUUUGAUCUCUGGGACGUGGGCAGAAGAUGUCACGGACUGUCACAGCAGUGGAGCGCUAUCAGA
Molecule: non-coding RNA, 163 nt
Filed under: Dorea phocaeensis
Lineage: Bacteria; Bacillati; Bacillota; Clostridia; Lachnospirales; Lachnospiraceae
Description: Lysine riboswitch
Rfam family: Lysine riboswitch aptamer
About the family: Riboswitches are metabolite binding domains within certain messenger RNAs that serve as precision sensors for their corresponding targets. Allosteric rearrangement of mRNA structure is mediated by ligand binding, and this results in modulation of gene expression. This family includes riboswitches that sense lysine in a number of genes involved in lysine metabolism, including lysC.
Source: RNAcentral